This is a long non-coding RNA of Varroa destructor (honeybee mite), 772 nucleotides long. RefSeq lists it as uncharacterized. The record is from RefSeq and is a predicted model, not a curated record. Lineage: Eukaryota; Metazoa; Arthropoda; Arachnida; Mesostigmata; Varroidae.
UUACGUAGCAGUUAUUGUUCCUCAGCUACAAACCAAUGCGCAUCUAUUGACAACCCUACUCAUGCUGUGACUUUACGACACGCUUUACUGAUCGACGCCUGCAUAUGCUCUUCGUGUCAUUUCUAACACUGGCACAGAGAUUACAAUCGACGUGAUAAAACCAAAGGCGACAAGGAACAACUGGGACCGAUCGGCUUUUCGGGUUAUGCGACACGGGUGAUACUACAAUAGGCAAAAGUGGACCAACCAUUUUUCCUUCGAUAUAGUUCUGUACUGUUAUCAGUUGUUGAUAAACGCGAUGUUUUGGAUGACAACUAAUGGGAAAAGGCGCGCUGUUCAUAUGGAGCAGACUCAGGUUCAAAGAACGGUCAUUAACCGUCAGAAAGUUACUUUUCAACAGUUUGACACUCGUCAAACGUCCUAGGUUGAAGUUCAUGUGACGGAUACUCUUUGACUGUGUGCCUGUGUUAGUGGACAGAUGUUGAAGCGUCAUUUUAACGGAGCAGUGCAAAGUAAUCAAACCCAAGUUGCAGAUCUUUAAGCUCGUAGUAUGAACAGUGCUACAAGAUGGGUUAAGGAACGACUCCAUGUACAAUGCCCAUUUACGAAAAAAUUAAUGGUGAAUAGACUCGAUUGAGGUAGUUGUCGUAUGCGAAAAAACAGCUUGAAUUCAUUUGUAUUUCAAUGGGGGAAUACAUGAAGACGCAAAAAUAAGUAGAGAAACUGAAGCCUGCUCCCAGGUACAUCCCAAUGUUCAUACUUCACUCUGCUG